UACGUAGGGUGCGAGCGUUGUCCGGAAUUACUGGGCGUAAAGAGCUCGUAGGUGGUCUGUCGCGUUGUUCGUGAAAUCUCACGGCUUAACUGUGAGCGUGCGGGCGAUACGGGCAGACUGGAGUACUGCAGGGGAGACUGGAAUUCCUGGUGUAGCGGUGGAAUGCGCAGAUAUCAGGAGGAACACCGGUGGCGAAGGCGGGUCUCUGGGCAGUAACUGACGCUGAGGAGCGAAAGCGUGGGGAGCGAACAGG
RNAcentral lists this ribosomal RNA (253 nucleotides) under uncultured bacterium. RNAcentral describes it as "partial 16S ribosomal RNA". It matches the Rfam family "Bacterial small subunit ribosomal RNA", at positions 524 to 776 of the family's 1533-position model. The record is from RNAcentral.